This 497-nucleotide ribosomal RNA is filed under the name uncultured bacterium. Its description in RNAcentral is "partial 16S ribosomal RNA". It matches the Rfam family "Bacterial small subunit ribosomal RNA", at positions 28 to 507 of the family's 1533-position model. The record is from RNAcentral.
GAUGAACGCUGGCGGCGUGCCUAAUACAUGCAAGUCGAGCGAACGGACGAGAAGCUUGCUUCUCUGAUGUUAGCGGCGGACGGGUGAGUAACACGUGGAUAACCUACCUAUAAGACUGGGAGAACUUCGGGAAACCGGAGCUAAUACCGGAUAAUAUUUUGAACCGCAUGGUUCAAAAGUGAAAGACGGUCUUGCUGUCACUUAUAGAUGGAUCCGCGCUGCAUUAGCUAGUUGGUAAGGUAACGGCUUACCAAGGCAACGAUGCGUAGCCGACCUGAGAGGGUGAUCGGCCACACUGGAACUGAGACACGGUCCAGACUCCUACGGGAGGCAGCAGUAGGGAAUCUUCCGCAAUGGGCGAAAGCCUGACGGAGCAACGCCGCGUGAGUGAUGAAGGUCUUCGGAUCGUAAAACUCUGUUAUUAGGGAAGAACAUAUGUGUAAGUAACUGUGCACAUCUUGACGGUACCUAAUCAGAAAGCCACGGCUAACUACGUG